Molecule: ribosomal RNA, 397 nt
Filed under: uncultured bacterium
Lineage: Bacteria
Description: partial 16S ribosomal RNA
Rfam family: Bacterial small subunit ribosomal RNA
Source: RNAcentral
AUACGUAGGUGACAAGCGUUAUCCGGAUUUACUGGGCGUAAAGGGCGUGUAGGCGGUCUUGCAAGUCAGAAGUGAAAUUCCUGAGCUCAACUCGGGCGCUGCUUCUGAAACUGCAGGACUUGAGUGCUGGAGGGGAUAGCGGAAUUCCUAGUGGAGCGGUAAAAUGCGCAGAUAUUAGGAAGAACACCGGUGGCGAAGGCGACUUGCUGAACAGUAACUGACGCCGAGGCACGAAAGCGUGGGGAACAAACAGGAUGAUAUCCCCUGGUAGUCCACGCCGUAAACGAUGAAUACUAGGUGUAGGGGGUAUCGACUCCCUCUGUGCCGCAGUUAACACAAUAAGUAUUCCGCCUGGGGAGUACGGCCGCAAGGUGGAAACUCAAAGGAAUUGACGGGG